AUUGCCCCAGUAACGGCGAGUGAAGCGGCAACAGCUCAAAUUUGAAAUCUGGCCCCCAGGGCCCGAGUUGUAAUUUGCAGAGGAUGCUUUUGGCGAGGCGCCUUCCGAGUUCCCUGGAACGGGACGCCAUAGAGGGUGAGAGCCCCGUCUGGUUGGAUGCCAAGUCUCUAUAAAGCUCCUUCGACGAGUCGAGUAGUUUGGGAAUGCUGCUCUAAAUGGGAGGUAUAUGUCUUCUAAAGCUAAAUACCGGCCAGAGACCGAUAGCGCACAAGUAGAGUGAUCGAAAGAUGAAAAGCACUUUGAAAAGAGGGUUAAAUAGUACGUGAAAUUGUUGAAAGGGAAGCGCUUAUGACCAGACUUGGGCCCAGUGAAUCACCCAGCGUUCUCGCUGGUGCACUUUGCCGGGCUCAGGCCAGCAUCAGUUCGCCCUUGGGGGAUAAAGGCCUUGGGAAUGUGGCUCCCUCGGGAGUGUUAUAGCCCAAUGCACAAUACCCUGGGGCGGACUGAGGUUCGCGCAUCUGCAAGGAUGCUGGCGUAAUGGUCAUCAGCGACCCGUCUUGAAACACGGACCAAGGAGUCGUCUUCGUAUGCAAGUGUUCGGGUGUAAAACCCCUACGCGUAAUGAAAGUGAACGCAGGUGAGAGCUUCGGCGCAUCAUCGACCGAUCCUGAUGUUCUCGGAUGGAUUUGAGUAAGAGCAUACGGGGCCGGACCCGAAAGAAGGUGAACUAUGCCUGUAUAGGGUGAAGCCAGAGAAACUCUGGUGGAGCUCGCAGCGGUUCUGACGUGCAAAUCGAUCGUCAAAUAUGGGCAUGGGGGCGAAAGACUAAUCGAACCUUCUAGUAGCUGGUUUC
This 853-nucleotide ribosomal RNA is filed under the name Metarhizium sp. NHJ13933.04. RNAcentral describes it as "LSU rRNA". It matches the Rfam family "Eukaryotic large subunit ribosomal RNA", at positions 74 to 958 of the family's 3401-position model. Lineage: Eukaryota; Fungi; Ascomycota; Sordariomycetes; Hypocreales; Clavicipitaceae. The record is from RNAcentral.